RNAcentral lists this ribosomal RNA (449 nucleotides) under uncultured bacterium. RNAcentral's name for it is "partial 16S ribosomal RNA". It matches the Rfam family "Bacterial small subunit ribosomal RNA", at positions 354 to 796 of the family's 1533-position model. The record is from RNAcentral.
GUCGAGAAUCUUUCACAAUGGGGGCAACCCUGAUGGAGCGACGCCGCGUGGAGGAUAAGGUCUUCGGAUUGUAAACUCCUGUCAUGCGUGAACAAGGUUGCUUGGUUAAUACCUGGGCAAAUUGAUGGUAACGCAAGAGGAAGAGACGGCUAACUCUGUGCCAGCAGCCGCGGUAAUACAGAGGUCUCAAGCGUUGUUCGGAAUCACUGGGCGGAAAGGGUGCGUAGGUGGCGUGGUAAGUCAGAUGUGAAAGCCCGGGGCUCAACCUCGGAACUGCAUCCGAUACAGCCAGACUAGAGUACGGGAGAGGUGACUAGAAUGCUCCGUGUAGCAGUGAAAUGCGUAGAUAUCGAGAGGAAUACCAAAGGCGUAGGCAGGUCACUGGACGGUUACUAACACUGAGGCACGAAGGCCAGGGGAGCGAACGGGAUUAGAAACCCGGGUAGUCC